Vigna angularis (adzuki bean) is the source of this 273-nucleotide long non-coding RNA. RefSeq lists it as uncharacterized. NCBI's taxonomy places the organism in Eukaryota, Viridiplantae, Streptophyta, Magnoliopsida, Fabales, Fabaceae. The transcript is spliced from 2 exons. The record is from RefSeq and is a predicted model, not a curated record.
CCAUCCAUUAGGUUUCCGUAUGAGCGUGCUCCGUCCCGUCCUAUAAAUUGAAGCUGCUUUCCUUUUGUUUAUGUAAAACCCUAGUUUUCGUUUGCAGCGCUGUGGAUGAUGAGAAGUAUCAAAUUUACAGUUAUCCCUGGCUGAUCUAGCAGGUGAUGAAAAUUUGUAAUCUGACGCAGUCUUUGCUUCCAAGAAAUAGGUGUUUUUGUUCGUGGUUUCAAAAUUCCUAUGUACUAUUUCAAUUAGUAUUGAAUAAUAACUUUAUAUUUCUAA